GAUGAACGCUGGCGGCGUGCCUAACACAUGCAAGUCGAGCGAAGCACUUUGCUUAGAUUCUUCGGAUGAAGAGGAUUGUGACUGAGCGGCGGACGGGUGAGUAACGCGUGGGUAACCUGCCUCAUACAGGGGGAUAACAGUUAGAAAUGACUGCUAAUACCGCAUAAGACCACAGCACCGCAUGGUGCGGGGGUAAAAACUCCGGUGGUAUGAGAUGGACCCGCGUCUGAUUAGCUAGUUGGUAAGGUAACGGCUUACCAAGGCGACGAUCAGUAGCCGACCGGAGAGGGUGACCGGCCACAUUGGGACUGAGACACGGCCCAAACUCCUACGGGAGGCAGCAGUGGGGAAUAUUGCACAAUGGGGGAAACCCUGAUGCAGCGACGCCGCGUGAGCGAAGAAGUAUUUCGGUAUGUAAAGCUCUAUCAGCAGGGAAGAAAAUGACGGUACCUGACUAAGAAGCACCGGCUAAAUACGUGCCAGCAGCCGCGGUAAUACGUAUGGUGCAAGCGUUAUCCGGAUUUACUGGGUGUAAAGGGAGCGUAGACGGAUGGGCAAGUCUGAUGUGAAAACCCGGGGCUCAACCCCGGGACUGCAUUGGAAACUGUUCAUCUAGAGUGCUGGAGAGGUAAGUGGAAUUCCUAGUGUAGCGGUGAAAUGCGUAGAUAUUAGGAGGAACACCAGUGGCGAAGGCGGCUUACUGGACAGUAACUGACGUUGAGGCUCGAAAGCGUGGGGAGCAAACAGGAUUAGAUACCCUGGUAGUCCACGCCGUAAACGAUGACUACUAGGUGUCGGGUGGCAAAGCCAUUCGGUGCCGCAGCAAACGCCAAAAAGUAGUCAACCCUGGGGAGUACGUUCGCCAGAAUGAAACUCAAAGGGAAUUGACGGGGGACCCCCACCAGCGGUGGAGCAUGUGGUUUAAUUCGAAGCAACGCGAAGAACCUUACCUGCUCUUGACAUCCCCGCUGACCGGAACCAUAAUGCGUCCUUUCCUUCGGGGCAGCGGAGACAGGUGGUGCAUGGUUGUCGUCAGCUCGUGUCGUGAGAUGUUGGGUUAAGUCCCGCAACGAGCGCAACCCCUAUCUUUAGUAGCCAGCGGCCAGGCCGGGCACUCUAGAGAGACUGCCGGGGAUAACCCGGAGGAAGGUGGGGACGACGUCAAAUCAUCAUGCCCCUUAUGAGCAGGGCUACACACGUGCUACAAUGGCGUAAACAAAGGGAAGCGAGACCGCGAGGUGGAGCAAAUCCCAAAAAUAACGUCUCAGUUCGGAUUGUAGUCUGCAACUCGACUACAUGAAGCUGGAAUCGCUAGUAAUCGCGAAUCAGAAUGUCGCGGUGAAUACGUUCCCGGGUCUUGUACACACCGCCCGUCACACCAUGGGAGUCGGGGGUACCUGAAGUGCGUAACCGCGAGGAG
RNAcentral lists this ribosomal RNA (1420 nucleotides) under uncultured organism. RNAcentral's name for it is "16S ribosomal RNA". It matches the Rfam family "Bacterial small subunit ribosomal RNA". The record is from RNAcentral.